AUAUUUGAAGAUGUUGUAAAUGGUUUCUAAUUCGCGGGGUACCUCUAACAUUACAAGUGUAUACUAUGUCUGUCAAAAGGGCUUCAUUGCAACAAAAUGUCUUGUUGAAGAUUCUUGAAUUCCUUUACAGCCAGAUAGUAUAUGCAAACUCAGCGACUACCAUUUUGAAGAUGACUGCUCGGCAUGUUCGACCCUUGGCUUUGCUUACAAGCCACUGCAUUUUCUGGUUCUAGGCAGUGAUGUGAGGAUAAGUCUCCUUCAGCCAGUGCAUUGUUUUCUCCCAUAAUUCAACUGUGACUGGGCAGAAUAGUAGGCAGUGAUGUGAGGAUAAGGCUCCUUCAGCCAGUGCAUUGUUUUCUCCCAUAAUUCAACUGUGACUGGGCAGAAUAGUAGCAAAUGGUCCCUGGUCUCUGGAUGGUUUUGGCAUAACUUACAUUGUAACGUAAUCUUCUUUGAUCAAUCACAAUGGAAAGAAUCAUUCCUUUACUAACGUGAAGUAAAAAAAAUAUGCUAGGAAUUUCAUUUUUGGUACUCAAACCAUUCAAAUCAGUAAUAAAUCCUAGUAUAGUAAAAAUUCUACCAUACUCAUCUCUCCAGAUUCAGACUAAAACAACAUUAGCAAUAUAAAAGGAAUAAUAGCCAAAAUAAAUUUCUAUUUAGGGGACAAAGCCAACUUCCAAGUUUAAAGGCACAGUCAGUUGAUGGCAUAAUACCAAACAAUGAUAAGAACUGUUAAAUCCCACGGAGAAACAAAUAAUUAUCAUUGCCUUAGCAUUAUAAGCAUGUUCUCAUUGAAUCAAAAGGAGAAUUACAUGUCCGGGAAAAGAAAAACGGUACCUUGUAGCAGUAAUAAGUCCUUAAACAGGAUAAUCACAUUUUAAUAUGGUGAUAGCACCAUUAAAUCCAGAAGGAAAAGAACAACAUUACCUUAGUAGCAGUAAUAAGUGCUUAAAAUCGCCAAUUCAUGGGUGAUAAACGCUACAAAUUGGAGCUCAGCGAAAUAACACUUGAACAUCAACUCGCAGUACAUCGAGAGUUAGCAGUCAACAGCAGCUCAGCGAAGCAGGAUCCCAGCACUUUUACACAAACAGAUAUCCAGAUAUUCCGAGAAAUGAGUGUGAAAAUCAGUAGUAACCAUCUUGAGCAAUUUAAAUUCCUAUCCCAUUUUAUGUAGAACCUUCAGUGCAUGUGUGCAUUAAUGAAAUUAGAGAGGAAGGAGGGGGGGAAGGACUGUGUGAUUUUUCUCUAGCUUAGGUCUGUGUGUAUUUUUGACAAGAAGCAAAAGAUGAGCAGCAAGGUCAAAAAUUAGGAGACGUUUUCAACGCCAUUUUUGCUCUUCAGAGAUCUCCGAUCUAGGGAUUUUUUUGGGUCUUUUUGAUCUGAUCUCUGUGUGUGGGUGUGAAGGAGUCAAGAAGGAGAAUCAGCGCUUGGGAAUGGGACAUGCUAUAUGCGUGUCUCUAAGGGGGAAAGGGUUUGUACAGGUCGGGUCAGCGGGUUGGAUUGGGUUUGUGGGCUGUUGGGGCCCCGAUGUUGGGUAGAGUGACUUGGCUUAGGAUUUUAUAUUAGAAUUGGCCCAAGUGUAUUGACUUAAUAAGACCUCUUUUAUUUCCAUUGUUUUUCUUUUCCUUCUUUUAUCUAAUUUUGUUUUUGU
This 1651-nucleotide long non-coding RNA is filed under the name Nicotiana benthamiana. Its description in RNAcentral is "long non-coding RNA (NBEN_LNC017343)". Lineage: Eukaryota; Viridiplantae; Streptophyta; Magnoliopsida; Solanales; Solanaceae. The record is from RNAcentral.